ACCAUUCUGUAUUAACUUUCCCAAGAUGCAGUAUCCUGGCAUUUUUCUUCUACCUGGAGCAUAAUUGCAUUUUUAGUAUAGUCUGUUGCAUAUUACUUCAGUGCGCUUUCCAGUUUGCUUUCCAUUUCUCCUAAUUGGAAGCAGGGACAGACUUGGUCUUGUGCUUAAUUUCUCUGUUCGCUCCCACUUACAAGAUGGGCAAGAUGGCAGAAGGAUGAAUGAUUUUGAGGGAAGAGCUAAUAUCAUGCUGGAAGGGAUAUAUUGCAUUGGUUACUUCUGACAACCAAGGCAGAUAUCAAGGCAGAGCAGGCAAGAAGCAGCCUUUAGAGACAAGAUCACAAAUGAGAAGGAAGAGGUUAUGAAGACAAUCAGCUCUGUCCAGGUAUGAAACUUAGAAAGAGCUGUAACUGUUACAAUAUUCCAAUUCCCCAGUGGAUAGAGCCUUAGAGAGAAUCAUAGAAAGAUUUGGACUGGAAGACGUCUUCUCAAAGAUAAUUGAGUCGAAGCUCACAUCAUCUAGUCCAACAAGUACUGCAUUAUUACAUCUGACAUGAAGGUUAUGGAAGUCAGCACUAAACUUUCAAGGUUUUUCCCUGAAGGAUGAGAGGACAUCAGAACUGAGCAUUUUCCCAGGCCUCCAAAACAGUUUACAUUGGCUACCGAUAGUACCCCAGUGGACCAAGAAGCAAAUCGCAUAAAGGUGGUGCUGAACUUAUCACAAUGAUGCUUUCUAAGGGUGGCCUUUGAGCCACAAAGUAACUUCAAGGCCAUGAACAUCCCUCAGGACACAUUGUCUCCUGCAGCUGCCUAAAACAAUAUGCUUGAAGACCCACAUGCUGACUUUAUGCGGUAACUGCCUCUUUGGCUGUGACUGUCCUUUGCUCUUUGCCUACAGUCUUGUAGCACGUGGCAUCAGGCUGCUGUGGGGGCUGUCCGGCUGUGCAAACACACCCAUGGGCACCAGCACCAGCUCACACACCAGUGAGCCACCCUGGGCAGUGACAGCACGGACACACGCUCCCUCUACCACUCUGGUACUUCAGCACUAGUGAAUGAUCUCACUUUUCUCUUUUCUUUUUAUUUCUUCCCUAUUUACUUCUUUUUGUGUAUACUCCUUAUUUUCCUGCCUAUUUUUCUGUUUUGGUUUUUUAAUGUGCUGCAGCUUUCUAUUCCUUUAACUAACCCUGUGCUGAUUUCUCUUCACUCCCCUCCUCUCCUCUC
Lonchura striata (white-rumped munia) is the source of this 1221-nucleotide non-coding RNA. Lineage: Eukaryota; Metazoa; Chordata; Aves; Passeriformes; Estrildidae. The record is from RefSeq and is a predicted model, not a curated record.